UAAGCCUGACACUCACUGAUUUAAACAAAUCUCAUCUCAAAUUAAUAUUAUUAAAACCACAAAUUAUCUUAAUAGCUACACUUUACAAAAAUUACUUCGGUCUACCAGAAAAACUAGGCGAGACCCGAAGCUCAGAAAAUUUACAACUGAUACAUCUGCUAAUUACUACUGCGGAGAAUCUAAGAUUUACCAUUUUACAUACCAAAUCAAUACUUCACCCGAUGAUGAAGGAGUCGGGUUACUGAAUAAGAGUCGCAGGAGAACUAACAGUCACAAAGCUGAAAAAAAAUAAAUGGAGACUGUCAGUCUCGAGAGUGAGUUAAAAUCAAAUAAUCUAGGGACUAUUGCUUCUUCUCAAAAAACAUAGAUUAUUCAAAUCAGUAUAUCAAACCAUACUGUAAUCGUACCCUACUAUUUCCUUCACAUAAAAUAUUAAUCAUUCGAAUCAAAAUAUCAACCAUGCACGUAAAUACAAAUCACAUUAUAAUCAAAUACCAUAAUAAAUAAAUAAAUAAAAAUAUAUAUUUACUUUUACGGGACAGUGGCUCGGUAGAACCCUAAACCCCAAAAUCUAGUAGCCAUUCGGCUCUCUUAAUCCAAUAAGACUGGCGCCCCGAGAGCAAUGCUCGACCAGGGACCUUACCUCCAGUCUGGUCACUUAAAUAUCCAAAUAAGCCGGCACCCCGAGAGCAAUGCUCGACCAGGGACCUUACCUCCGGCAAUCAACUGAACUCAGCCCAGAGAGCAAUGCUCGAUCAGGGCAAACAAAUCCAUAAUAACCUUAUGUCCAUAAUCAUUACCCGUGCGCACGCGGUCCUGAUGUAACCCAUCAGGCGGCAUGUUCUACAAGCCACAUUUCCCAAUUCGCAAUCAUCACAUAUAAUAAAUAUCAUUAUCUGUUGAACUCAUCCAACACAUAUCGAAAUAAAGAUUAAAGAUUUAAGAUAAAAUAACGUGCAAUUUGUGAGGGGAAAAAUAAUAACGUUUGUCUUAUUAUAACAUACUAAUAAUCAUAUUAAGCACAAAUUCUAAAUAGCAUAUUGAAAUCAGACUAGCAAUAGCGCAAAGAUUAAAUGACUUUAACUCACAGGAUUGGCGACCUCCUAGCUCUGCUCC
RNAcentral lists this long non-coding RNA (1116 nucleotides) under Ricinus communis (castor bean). RNAcentral's name for it is "long non-coding RNA (RCOM_LNC003084)". The record is from RNAcentral. Lineage: Eukaryota; Viridiplantae; Streptophyta; Magnoliopsida; Malpighiales; Euphorbiaceae.